UACGUAGGGUGCGAGCGUUGUCCGGAAUUACUGGGCGUAAAGGGCUUGUAGGUGGUUUGUCGCGUUGUUCGUGAAAUCCCGUGGCUUAACUGCGGGCGUGCGGGCGAUACGGGCAGACUGGAGUACUGCAGGGGAGACUGGAAUUCCUGGUGUAGCGGUGGAAUGCGCAGAUAUCAGGAGGAACACCGGUGGCGAAGGCGGGUCUCUGGGCAGUAACUGACGUUGAGAAGCGAAAGCGUGGGGAGCGAACAGG
RNAcentral lists this ribosomal RNA (253 nucleotides) under uncultured bacterium. RNAcentral describes it as "partial 16S ribosomal RNA". It matches the Rfam family "Bacterial small subunit ribosomal RNA", at positions 524 to 776 of the family's 1533-position model. The record is from RNAcentral.